UGGGGAUCUAUGGGGUUCUAUGGGGAUCUAUGGGGCUUUAUGGGGCUCUAUGGGGCUCUAUGGGGAUCUACGGGGUUCUGUGGGGUCUCUGUGGGGCUCUAUGGGGCUAUAUGGGGGCUCUAUGGGGUCUCUAUGGGGUCUCUGUGGGUCUCUAUGGGGUUUCUGUGGGUCUCUAUGGGUCUCUAUGGGUCUCUAUGUGUAUCUGCCCCACAGUCGCUGGCUGCGGUGGCUGCUGCCCCACGGGAGGAGCUGGCACUGUGCCCAGGGAUCGGACCCCAAAAGGCCAAGCGUCUGUUUGAAGCCCUACACGAACCCUUCCUGAAGACCCCCAAAAACCCCACAACUGCCCUUUGAUCCUAUAAACCAACGAACCCAUAAACACAACAAGCGCCGCACUGCGACUGCAGCACCACUGCGGGGUCAAUGGGGACACAUGGGGGUGAAUGGGGCCAUAUUGGGGUCAAUGGGGCCGUAUUGGGGUCAGUGGGGCCAUAUUGGGGUCAAUGGGGCCACAUUGGGGUUAAAGGGGCCGUAUUGGGGUCAAUGGGGCCACAUUGGGGUCAAUGGGGCCGUAUUGGGGUCAAUGGGGCCAUAUUGGGGUCAAUGGGUCCAUAUUGGGGUUAAUGGGGACACAUUGGGGUCAGUGGGGCUAUAUUGGGGUCAAUGGGUCCAUAUUGGGGUAAAUAGGGCCAUAUUGGGGUCAAUGGGGCCAUAUUGGGGUAAUGAGACACAUUGGGGUCAAUGGGGACACAUUGGGGUCAAUGGGGCCAUAUUGGGGUCAAUGGGGCCAUAUUGGGGUUAAUGGGGCCAUAUUGGGGUCAAUGGGGACACAUUGGGGUCAAUGGGGCCAUAUUGGGGUCAAUGGGGCCAUAUUGGGGUCAGUGGGGGCACAUGGGGGACAAUGGGGACACAUUGGGGUCAGUGGGGACACAUUGGGGUCAAUGGGGCCAUAUUGGGGUCAAUGGGGCCAUAUUGGGGUCAAUGGGGACACAUUGGGGUCAAUGGGGACAUAUUGGGGUCAAUGGGGCCAUAUUGGGGUCAAUGGGGACUCAUUGGGGUCAGUGGGAACACAUUGGGGUGAAUGGGGCCAUAUUGGGGUUAAUGGGACUGCAUUGGGGUCAAUGGGACACACUGGGGUCAAUAGGGUCAAUGGGAACACACUGGGGUCACAGUGGCUUUAAUAGGAUCACAUUGGGGUCACAUUGACUUUAAUGGGAUCACAUUGGGGUCAAUGGGGUCCCAUUGGCUUUAAUAGGAACACAUUGGGGUCAAUGGGAACACACUGGGAUCUAUAGGGUCACAUUGUCUUUAAUGGGACCCCAUUGGCUUUAAUAGGAUCACAUUGGGAUCAAUGGGGUCCCAUUGGCUUUAAUAGGAUCAUAUUGGGAUCAAUGGGGUCCCAUUGGCUUUAAU
Molecule: long non-coding RNA, 1413 nt
Organism: Coturnix japonica (Japanese quail)
Lineage: Eukaryota; Metazoa; Chordata; Aves; Galliformes; Phasianidae
Source: Ensembl